ACUUUGUGAUUGGGAUAUUGCAUGAGAUUCCUAUUAAAUCUCUCCCACACCCCAUAUUGAGGUUCUCUAUUCAAUUGAAAAAAAAUAGUGAUUUCAGCAUGCAAUU
Capsicum annuum is the source of this 106-nucleotide non-coding RNA. The record is from Rfam. Lineage: Eukaryota; Viridiplantae; Streptophyta; Magnoliopsida; Solanales; Solanaceae.